GGCACGUGUUCCCUUUGCCUCUCGGUGCUGUUUGCUGUCUUUCAUAACAGUUGUAUUAGAUCAGAAUGUAGAGACUAUUCCUUCCCCCACAUACCAUUUUUUGUUUUUGUGAGUCUGGUAGACAUUUGCAUGGGUUUUAUGGCUUCUGACCUGACCAAACUGGAGUGAGAAAAUGUAUACCUGCUUCUCAAAAUGAGUUUUCCCUUUGUGUCCAUGUACUAACUAAGGGUACAGAUCCAAUGAAAACAUCAGUCAUACAACAGUCCAUAAAGCAUUUUUUAACUUACAUUCUAGUCACGGUAUGCCAGUUUAUUUAAAAAAACUGCCUUAAAUCAUUGGGCCAAAUCCUAUAGUCCUUAUUCCUUACUCGAGCAGUGAAGUCAGUGAGAAUAUGGCCUAGGUAAGGGUUGCAAGUUUACGCUUAUAGUGACUAUCUGGCUUGUAAUUCUAUUAGUACAAGAAGCAUACAUCUUAACCUCUUCUAUCAGAGUCUGGCUUUGUAGUAGUUAAAGUAAUUGUCAUGAAAAGAUCUCUCUCUUUUUGGUAACCAAACAAAAUCUCAUAGACCCAAAUAUCAUUUUCAUUUUAGUAAAUUAUAAAGAUAGGGGGAGGAAAUCUGGUAUAGAUAAACUGGAGUCAAAUUGAAGUACUGCCUUCCCUCCCCGGAAGGAACAGAACUUUUGUUUAAUGCACAUUUCAGACAGCUUAGAGACCCUUGACAAAGGGAAAGUGUCAAAAUAUUUGUUUAUAGGGACAAAGGCUAAAGUUACUCUAAUAUAAUCUGUUACAGAAAAGAUCAGGGAACAGAAAUAACAUUAAAACAACGAGGAGUCCAGUGGCACCUUAAAGACUAACAGAUUUAUUUGGCCAUAAGCUUUCAAAAGCUUAUGGCCAAAUAAAUCUGUUAGUCUUUAAGAUGCCACUGGACUCCUCAUGGUUUUUGUGGAUACAGACUAAUAUGGCUACCCCACUUGACAACAUUACAACUGUUUGCCUAAACUACAAAUCUGCAUCUUUGGAUACCUUUACACCAAAAUACAAGUUAUUCUAAUGCCUUGAUAGACACUGAAAGUCAAAUGAUCUAUUUUACACAAAUUUAAAAUGAAAUUCAGUUAAUUUUGAUACUUGCGAGACUUACAAGCUGCACUGAUUUCUUUAUGCAACUUGUGGGUGCUCAAAUGCAUCAGUUAAACCUUGCAAAAACUCUUUAAAUAAAACCCUUCUUUUUAGAAGACACACUAAACUAUGGGAAAGAAUCAGUGGUAUACAUUGAAGUUAGAGAACGGCACCAAAAGAUAUCGCCAUAAACAUACCAUAAUAACAAAAUGGAAGAGCAUAGCAUGUUCAGUGACAAACACUCAGGAAGAAUUUUAUACCACCUUUCCAGUACCAUUUUGACAGAACCAAAUAGUAAAGAAAAUUUAAAAAAAAACAAAAAAAAAAAACUCUUGCACAUCUGUGUCCUGACCUUUCCUUCUGUAUAACUUGAAAAAUCCUGCUAUACAUUAUUUUCUAUCUUGAAAGUGAGUUUCCCCUCACACACCCAUGUUUAAAUUCAAUUGUGCAAGUGUCCUGCUGGGGUUGGUGGGGGAGCCAUGAAAUGGGAUUCCUAUCAUUAUUUGAUCACUCAUUUAUAGCAGUUGCUUAAAUGUCUGUAUUGAUAUGAAGGUGUUUGACUUUAAAAAAAAAAAAAAAUAGGUUGCCAGAUUUCUAGUAAUUUCAAAACUUUUUGAGCAAAAAUGUUAAAGCGAUUAUGUUCUGGUAGACUUAAUUUCACAUUGAAAAGGUUAAAUUCUUAACUUAUUUUAACAAUUCAUUAAGGUUAGUCUGCAUUUACAAAGGGCUAAAUGUCUUUUCUAGUACUAUAACUUAUUCUAACAGGACUCAGUUUCAUUAGUAUAUAUUGAUACAAGAUGACAAUCUUUCAAUGAGCAUACUGUUAAGAAUUUUUUCAAAAUUCUUAAAUCCAAAAGAACUAGGAGAUAGCCACACAAAUGUGAUUUUUGUAUUUAUAGACACCUGGUUAUAUUUUUGCCCCCUCUGCAUUUGGACCCCAUUAUCUAAGCCCGUUUAUUGUAUUUUGAAUAAUAAUAAAAAGGUAAACACUCUUGCUAUAAGGCUAGUAAUAAAACAAAGCAAAGUAUCGCGAGGGAAUGUUAGUUUAGUAUAGAAGUAGUAUUACACUAAGCACCCAAUCCUGGAGUCCUAAUGCAAACAAAACCUCGGUUCAUUUCAACAGGAGUUUUGCUUGGUGAAGUACUACAAGAUUGGGUUUUUACUGUUUUCCUAUAUGUAGGUCAAAUCCUGAAAAUUUCCUAUCUGUAAUCUUUUCUAACUCAUUGACUUACAUAGAACAAUUUGUAUGAGUAAGGCUACUUGAAUUACUACAGCUUGCAAAAUUGGGCUCUCAAUCACUCAAAUGAACUAUUUGUGAGAGUGGCCAAGAGCCUUAUAGAAAGAGUGCACUGGGUGAUGCGUGUUUUCCUAUUGCUCUAAAAAAUGGGAGCUUCUGUUAACUUAAGACUUGUAUGAAGCUGCUUUGUGUGUAAUGAAUUGGCUUGCUUAAUCUGUCUGGACAAAGUCUAGAGUUACAAACUGGUAUAUUUUAAUUUAGCAUCUAAAAUCUAUUGCGUAGAAAAGAGUAUCUCAAUCUUUAAAAUGAAAAUCUUGAUUGUAGUUUUUAUUUAUUUUUUUUUUUAAAGCAAAACUUUACAUGGGCAAGGUAUAUCUGUCAAAUAACUGAGUAUCGGUCAGGAACCUGUGAAAUUUAACGUAGUUGAGUCCCUCUGGAGAAAUAUUUUAACAUCUUGUUUGGAGGUUACCAGAAGCUCUGAGUGACAAAUCAGAAUAUAUUGCAUCAUAUUUUCUGAUGUUAUCCAGAAACCUGUAAGUGUCCCUUUCCUGUUUUAACUCCUUCCUUUUAUUACCUGACUAUCAGGGAAGCGUGGUUGAGGCUGCCCUGACCUGACAUGUCAUGAUGUCGACUUGCUAGGUGGGGUUCGCAGGGGACAUUAACCAUUGGAAUUGUCGGAUAUUCAUCAGAUGCUACAAAUCUAGAUGUAUGAACAGAGUGUGAAGUGAAUGGGAAGCAGCUGAAACCAGGAUAAGAUCUAAAGAACAAUGCAAGAAGAGCUAGGAACACAUUUUUAGCUGUCUAGAGGUAGUAUGGUCUGGAGCAAUGAACAUUAGUUGGAAUUAAGGACUUGGUCUGCCACUGAUUUGCUCUGUGGCCUUUGACAAGUCACUUCACUUCUGUGCCUCAUUUUCACCAUCUGUAGAAUGGGAAUAAUGCAGGGGUCUCAAACAAGCCACUGGGCUAUUUCCUACGGCCUGCCAAGCGGCUCCUUUUUCCCCCCUUCCCCCGACCUACCUCCAGGCCGGGGGGGG
Gopherus flavomarginatus (Mexican gopher tortoise) is the source of this 3387-nucleotide long non-coding RNA. RefSeq lists it as uncharacterized. Lineage: Eukaryota; Metazoa; Chordata; Testudines; Testudinidae. The record is from RefSeq and is a predicted model, not a curated record. The transcript is spliced from 3 exons.